Molecule: ribosomal RNA, 460 nt
Filed under: uncultured bacterium
Lineage: Bacteria
Description: partial 16S ribosomal RNA
Rfam family: Bacterial small subunit ribosomal RNA
Source: RNAcentral
CCUACGGGUGGCAGCAGUGAGGAAUAUUGGUCAAUGGGCGGGAGCCUGAACCAGCCAAGUCGCGUGAGGGAAGACGGUCCUAUGGAUUGUAAACCUCUUUAGGCGGGGAGCAAGGCCGGGCACGCGUGCCCGGAGGGAGAGUACCCGCAGAAGAAGCAGCGGCGAACUCCGGGCCAGCAGCCGCGGUAAUCCGGCGGAUGCGCGCUUUAUCCGGAUUGAUUGGGUUGACAGGGUGCGUAGGCGGAUUUUUAAGUCAGCGGUAAACUGUCCGGGCUCAACCCGGGCCGGCCGUUGAAACUGGGGAUCUUGAGUGGGCGAGAAGUAUGCGGAAUGCGUGGUGUAGCGGUGACAUGCAUAGAUAUCACGCAGAACUCCGAUUGCGAAGGCAGCAUACCGGCGCCCGACUGACGCUGAGGCACGAACGCGUGGGGAUCGAACAGGAUUAGAUACCCGAGUAGUC